UAUCCCGUCUGUGGUAUUACGAUUUUUUGUAUUGGAGAGCAUGCUGCACUUACUCUGAAUAGGAUACAUCGUUUCUAUCUGUACUCAGGCUGAAGUGUUCCUUGCAAAAUAUUUGUUGCAUUGAGCUUCUCAUUAAACUUGCUGAUUGGGUGGGUGUUGUUUCCCAGCACUCUUACUGCUAAUUACGUUCAGGAAGAGGAAUACCUUCUACCGCUUUUGGAUCUGCUUUUAAUAUGUCACCCAUAAUGAGAAAUGUGGGAAGGCUUACAAAUGUCCCCGUCCUGUGCCCUGCUUCAGAGCCAGCAGAGGGAGCGCAGCCAGCAUCUGAGCUACUCUGCCCUUGCUCACCUUGGCCACGCAUGCUUCACUCACUCAGACAAUUGUUUCAGAGAGGAAAGUGAUAAUUUACAGAAAUGAAGGGCUUUAGGGCACUCCCAGCAGUGACUAUUGUAUUGGUGUACUGGUCCUUGGCUGAAUAUUCUGUUACUAUGUUUGUCCUACAGUGUUACUGAUCAGGUUACCAACAACAGUUGUUGUCUUGGCGUCUUCCUGAUUUGUGCCUGACUGUGUGCACAGUUACACAGGAGGAAAGAUUCCCGGUGCUGCUUUAGUUACACAGUUGCAAAUGAAGGUAAUACUCAGGUGAGGCUGUUGUAUCUAAAUGCACAAAGCAGUAGGACCAUAAAUGGACCCUAAUCUGAAUUUUCCUGAAGGAUUCAGCCUGGCUGUGGUCUCUGGAGGUGUCAGUGCCACCUUGCUUAGCCUGGUGUUCAUGACAGGAUUUUCACCAUCUUCACUUCUCUGGCCACUCCUGUUCUACUGACAGCAAUCUAUACUCCUCGCACAAAACAAACCGUCCCUUAGCUGAGGUUUUCCUCACCAACUUGUUCCUGCUCCUGCAACCACUGCAUCCUUCUGUGCUCCCCAAAGCCAGGCAGGUUCUGUGCUUACUAACCCUCUCAACCUGUGGUAAUUUAUAGGAGGCCAUUUAUUUUUGUAUUGCAAUAAAUCCCUUGUGUCCAGUCUGGUAAUGGCAUGGGUGGUGAGAAGGGGGUGAUGAGAGAGUGAGCAGGUGACUGAAAAAGCUCUUGUAUGCGUAUUUGUAAUAAAAGACAUCCAAAGUGCAUUUUGUUACUGUGAAGAGGAAUUAUCUGUGGAAAAAAAAAAUGCUUUUAUUGUUUAAAACUCCUUAUGCUUGCUGUGAAAUGAAUCUGUGAAAUAUCUCAUUAAAAGUUUAUUGGAUCGAUAAUUUGUUUGUUUGUUCCAGAGUGCAGGUAAUAAACGUG
RNAcentral lists this long non-coding RNA (1286 nucleotides) under Gallus gallus (chicken). The record is from RNAcentral. Lineage: Eukaryota; Metazoa; Chordata; Aves; Galliformes; Phasianidae.